This 813-nucleotide long non-coding RNA is filed under the name Rattus norvegicus (Norway rat). Its description in RNAcentral is "long non-coding RNA NONRATT010689". Lineage: Eukaryota; Metazoa; Chordata; Mammalia; Rodentia; Muridae. The record is from RNAcentral.
UUUUUGGUUUGUUUUUAACUUUCACACAGAGCCGGAUAUUUUUGUUUUAUUUUAGGUUUAUUUCUUCUAAGGUGUAACUUGUGGGUUCUUUAAAGCUGUGGCAGUGAUGGUAACCAACGCCUUCCCGCUCCUCAGCUCCCACAAGACAAGCCAGCAUCUGCUGAGAAGCCUUCUAGGUGUUUCCGCACACCGUGAAAGGUGCUUUGAAACUCCCAUCCUCUGCUUUGUAGAACUAGGGCCUGAUGGGCACUCCAGUCACCCACUGUCACUCUGUGGUAAAACUACUGAUGCUUGCUUGCUUCCCGAGUUGCCCGAGGAUGGCUGCCAUGCGCUGUCCAGUGUGAGUGUUGCUGCUGGUGAAUUUGAAGGUGCUUUGUCCUCCGCUGCUGUUGGCUUAGUUGCUUAGUUUCCCCAUCAGUGCCCCCACUCUCCCCCCCUCCCGCCCCAUUAGCACUGGCUCAGCUUUAACUGUCUCCUCAGCCAAUCAGAUGUUAAAGACCAUGGGAGUCCUCUUGUUUAAUUUGUCCUCGUGUAUCUAUUAAACCUCGAUCAGGGUUUCUAGAAUGGCUGCAGUAGAUUUUGAAAACAGACUUACCGUUAUCGAUUUGGGGUUUCCCAGAGAUCCAGUUCACAGUUAAUUGUUGAACUCGAGUACAACUGACCAUUCAAAAGUGAACAACAGCCCAUUGUUUUGUAACAGUGUCGGGUAAGCCCUGACAUUUCAAUUGAAACAUGAAUUGUCAUUAUAACUCAAUGCAAAUUCAACAGUUGUAUUUGGAGUUAAAUUAUUUUAACAAAUAAAUUUAUUUAAUG